AUCCAUCUUCUUUAACAUUAUCUACUUUUAUUUAACCAAACCGUUUCAAAUAAAUUUUUCCCACCGAUUGGUGUUCUGUUGCCUAUAAUAAAUUACAUUUUUUCCUAUUGCUACGUUGCUGUGAAUUGAUGCUCUAACAUUUUCAGGUUUCCCUAUUAAAAAAAAAAAAAAAACUGACAUUCAUAAAUGCCUCUCACUAUUAUUGAGAUCGCCAAAGAGGGGCAGCGAGAGUCAGACUAUCAGAGAGGGAGAGAAAAAUCCAUUGUUAGACCAAUCUUUCUCCAAAAUAUUACAGGUAUUGAGUUUCUGGUUUGCAAUGUUUAUAGGAACACAGAUUUGGGAAAAUCAAAGCUUCAGCUUUACCAGUUGUGGUACAAAAUAAUAAACCGAAAGAGGAACUGCCACCAAGGAAUGAAUAUCAAAACCUUCAUUUGUAUCUAAGAGAAAGAUCCAUGAGGAAGAAGCUUAACUAAAGGAUUGAGCUCUUUCAUGUCACAUGCAAUCACAGUGUAGACCCAUGUAUCUAUGUGGAUUGGAUCAAAGUGCCAGUGAAGGUGAAACUUUUGUAGUGGAUUCGAAUUGCAAAGAGCCCAAGUGUAGCUUAGGUUGUAUGCAAGGUUUGUUGCAAGAGGAUAUAUUAGUUCCUAAAGCUAGCAAAAGUGCUUUUGGCUCUCAGUAAAUUUCUGUUGUAUCUAUAGCAAUUCAAUAUCUUAAAUUUUGCCUUUAAAAACCAGGCUUUUCCAAGUGGCGCAUAGAAUUGAAAGACUUUCUACAUUCUUUUAGCCAGUAAGACUUUCCUAUUAAGUGCCACAUUAGCUUACUCUCUUCAACCUAUAUUUUAGCAUGCCUGAACUGCUACACAAUCUCUUCUAACCUCUUGACAUUUGCUAUUUCUGUCUCCACUCUUUCCCAUACAUUUGAUCAUUUUGCUAUGAACUCAUUUGGCCUUAACUAUAGGGUUUGUCUUGGGUGAUAAUAUUUAGGUUCUAUUAAACCAUUUCUUUUGUUUAUUUUUCCAUAAGGAUUAUGUCAGUAAGAACAAAUGACUAUAUUUUCCAAGUGUUUAUUUUUCCAAUAAGUAUUUUAUUUUGUAAUUCUCAUUUGAUCCGUUUUCCUUUGUUUCUAUACAAAUAA
Long non-coding RNA from Quercus lobata, 1134 nucleotides. RefSeq lists it as uncharacterized. NCBI's taxonomy places the organism in Eukaryota, Viridiplantae, Streptophyta, Magnoliopsida, Fagales, Fagaceae. The transcript has 4 exons. The record is from RefSeq and is a predicted model, not a curated record.